This 23-nucleotide non-coding RNA is filed under the name Cricetulus griseus (Chinese hamster). The record is from RNAcentral. Lineage: Eukaryota; Metazoa; Chordata; Mammalia; Rodentia; Cricetidae.
AACACGAAGAGCAUGGCAUGUAG